This 786-nucleotide ribosomal RNA is filed under the name Meyerozyma guilliermondii. RNAcentral's name for it is "eukaryotic LSU rRNA". The stretch from base 1 to 571 matches the Rfam family "Eukaryotic large subunit ribosomal RNA", at positions 73 to 664 of the family's 3401-position model. The record is from RNAcentral. Lineage: Eukaryota; Fungi; Ascomycota; Pichiomycetes; Serinales; Debaryomycetaceae.
AUGCUUAGUAGCGGCGAGUGAGCGGCAAAAGCUCAAAUUUGAAAUCUGGCGCCUUCGGUGUCCGAGUUGUAAUUUGAAGAUUGUAACCUUGGGGUUGGCUCUUGUCUAUGUUUCUUGGAACAGGACGUCACAGAGGGUGAGAAUCCCGUGCGAUGAGAUGCCCAAUUCUAUGUAAGGUGCUUUCGAAGAGUCGAGUUGUUUGGGAAUGCAGCUCUAAGUGGGUGGUAAAUUCCAUCUAAAGCUAAAUAUUGGCGAGAGACCGAUAGCGAACAAGUACAGUGAUGGAAAGAUGAAAAGAACUUUGAAAAGAGAGUGAAAAAGUACGUGAAAUUGUUGAAAGGGAAGGGUUUGAGAUCAGACUCGAUAUUUUGUGAGCCUUGCCUUCGUGGCGGGGUGACCCGCAGCUUAUCGGGCCAGCAUCGGUUUGGGCGGUAGGAUAAUGGCGUAGGAAUGUGACUUUACUUCGGUGAAGUGUUAUAGCCUGCGUUGAUGCUGCCUGCCUAGACCGAGGACUGCGAUUUUAUCAAGGAUGCUGGCAUAAUGAUCCCAAACCGCCCGUCUUGAAACACGGACCAAAAAUAUUUUGUGAUUCUUGUCUACUCGGUGGGGUGACCCGCAGCUUAUCAGCCCUGCACCGGCUGGGGGGGCGCCACCCUGACGUAUGAGUCCUUCUCUCUUACUUGAGUGAGACCUUCACUCCCCCCUUGCUGAGACCCCCCUCCUUCUUCUUCCUGCCAGGUUCGCCCCGAGGGCCGUCCUCCUCCCCCUACAAUCUCCCCCUUGACA